This 306-nucleotide ribosomal RNA is filed under the name Triticum aestivum (bread wheat). RNAcentral's name for it is "partial small subunit ribosomal RNA". The record is from RNAcentral. Lineage: Eukaryota; Viridiplantae; Streptophyta; Magnoliopsida; Poales; Poaceae.
CAUAAACGCCGUCUCCCUAUGAUUGUGCUUAAGUUGGAUUUCAGGAAAGCCUUUGACAGUGUCAGUUGGGAUGCUCUAAAUCAAAUCAUGGAAGCCCGAGGCUUUGGGGAUCGAUGGAUACAUUGGAUUAAUGACCUGCUAUCAUCCGGCUCUUCAAGUGUCUUGAUCAAUGGACAGAUUGGUGAUAAGAUUAAAUUACAGAGUGGCCUAAGACAAGGGGAUGCUUUAUCCCCUUAUCUUUUUAUUCUCAUGGCUGAUGUCCUACAACAAAUGUGCAUCUCUGAGUGUAAUAGGGGAACUCUCUAA